UUGCCUUAAACUAAUGAGUAAGGAAAACAAAGUGAGCGGCGGGAGCUGCCCGCCGCGCAUGACAUAAUAUUUGUUCCUCACGAAUUUAUGGAGGGGUUAUAGGCUUGCUGAGCGUAGACGCUGCUUACUUUGCAGAACUCGUUCGUGCGGGCCUCCCA
This is a small nuclear RNA of Rhododendron vialii, 158 nucleotides long. RefSeq annotates it as U12 minor spliceosomal RNA. The record is from RefSeq and is a predicted model, not a curated record. The transcript has a single exon. NCBI's taxonomy places the organism in Eukaryota, Viridiplantae, Streptophyta, Magnoliopsida, Ericales, Ericaceae.